UACGAAGGGGGCUAGCGUUGCUCGGAAUUACUGGGCGUAAAGGGCGCGUAGGCGGCUGUUUAAGUCGGGGGUGAAAGCCCGGGGCUCAACCUCGGAAUUGCCUUCGAUACUGGACAUCUUGAGUACGGGAGAGGUGAGUGGAACUCCGAGUGUAGAGGUGAAAUUCGUAGAUAUUGGGUGGAACACCGGUGGCGAAAGCGGCUCUCUGGUCCGGACCUGACGCUGAGGCGCGAAAGCGUGGGGAGCAAACAGG
Molecule: ribosomal RNA, 253 nt
Filed under: uncultured bacterium
Lineage: Bacteria
Description: partial 16S ribosomal RNA
Rfam family: Bacterial small subunit ribosomal RNA
Source: RNAcentral